RNAcentral lists this ribosomal RNA (259 nucleotides) under uncultured bacterium. Its description in RNAcentral is "partial 16S ribosomal RNA". It matches the Rfam family "Bacterial small subunit ribosomal RNA", at positions 30 to 289 of the family's 1533-position model. The record is from RNAcentral.
UUGAACGCUGGCGGCAUGCCUUACACAUGCAAGUCGAACGGCAGCACGGGGGCAACCCUGGUGGCGAGUGGCGAACGGGUGAGUAAUGCAUCGGAACGUGCCCAGUUGUGGGGGAUAACCAGUCGAAAGACUGGCUAAUACCGCAUACGACCUUCGGGUGAAAGCGGGGGACCGGCAAGGCCUCGCGCUACUGGAGCGGCCGAUGUCUGAUUAGCUAGUUGGUGAGGUAAUGGCUCACCAAGGCGACGAUCAGUAGCUG